CCUACGGGUGGCAGCAGUGGGGAAUAUUGGUCAAUGGGGGAAACCCUGAUGCCGCGACGCCGCGUGAGUGAAGAAGUAAUUCGUUAUGUAAAGCUUUAUCAGCAGGGAAGCAAAUGAUGGUACUUGAGUAAGAAGCCGCGGAUAACUACGUGCCAUCAGCCGCGGUAAUACGUAGGCGACCAGCGUUAUCCGGAUUUACUGGGUGUACAGGGUGCGUAGACGGCAGUGAAAGUCUGGCGUGAAAGGCGGGGGCUCAAUCCCCGGACUGCUCGGGAAACUGAACGGCUGGAGUGCAGGAGGGGUAAGUGGAAUUCCUAGGGUAGCGGUGAAAUGCGUAGAUAUUGGGAAGAACACCAGUGGCGAAGGCGGCAUACUGGACUGUAACUGACGUUGAGGCUCGAAAGCGUGGGGAGCGAACAGGAUUAGAUACCCGUGUAGUC
Molecule: ribosomal RNA, 440 nt
Filed under: uncultured bacterium
Lineage: Bacteria
Description: partial 16S ribosomal RNA
Rfam family: Bacterial small subunit ribosomal RNA
Source: RNAcentral